GUCAGUGUGGUGUAGGGGUUUGAGUGUUAGACUAUGGCUUUUGAAAUCAGGGUUCAAUUCCCUGCUCAGCCA
Molecule: transfer RNA, 72 nt
Filed under: Phrynosoma platyrhinos (Desert horned lizard)
Lineage: Eukaryota; Metazoa; Chordata; Lepidosauria; Squamata; Phrynosomatidae
Description: tRNA-OTHER
Source: RNAcentral